Molecule: long non-coding RNA, 848 nt
Filed under: Ananas comosus (pineapple)
Lineage: Eukaryota; Viridiplantae; Streptophyta; Magnoliopsida; Poales; Bromeliaceae
Description: long non-coding RNA (ACOM_LNC020741)
Source: RNAcentral
UAUUUAGGUAGUGAAUAGAAUUUUCUAUCAAAAAUUCAAUCUAUUCCAAUUCUUGUACACCGUUAAACUAGCAAAUAUCUCAUACUAAUCGUUAAAAAUUGUCAAUUUUGUAACAUUUUGAUCGUAAGAUAAAUGAUGUCGAAAAAUUAUGAAAUUUGAUUUCUAAAAGUUUUAAAUGUUCUAAAUAAUGUUUAAUGGUAUGGAUAAUCGAUUUGGAAGUUCUAUCAUCAAAAUCGACUUAUGAGUACAAGGACGAUCGUACUCAUAAGUAUAGUAACUGAACUCUCUCUGUCCCUCUCUCUCUCUCUCUCUCUCUCUCUCUCUCUAUAUAGAAUUAGGCCACUAUAUUAUCUAUAGUACCGGAGCUCCGGUACUAUAGUCUCAUUUUUGAUCUUAGGUUGUUCAAAUUAACGAUUCACACCUUUAAAUAUGUUCUAGGGUAUAUGGAGUUCUUAAAAAUAAAAUUUUAAAUUUUUUCGACAUCGUUUACUUAGUAAGUAAAUCAUGUCAAAAUGAAUGAUUGAAAUUGAGCAAUCUUUAAAAUUUGAGAAUAGAACUUUUAAAUUCAAGAUUAAGGAUGUUAAUCUUGAUCUAAAUAGUUUAAAAUAUUUUUUAUCAAAAUUUGAAUAAAUUUAGAUUUUUUUACACCGUUAAACUACAAACUCACCAUACUAGCCAUUGAAAAUUGACAAUUUCAAAAUAAUUUGAUCAUAAAGUAAACUAUGUUAAAAAAAUAUAAAAUUUUAUUCCUAAAAACUUCAAAUAUCCUACAUCAGUUUUAAUAAUAUGGAUCGUUGAUUUAAACAUUCUAAAGUUAAAAACGAGACUAUAGUACCAAAAUCCCGCUA